RNAcentral lists this ribosomal RNA (425 nucleotides) under uncultured bacterium. Its description in RNAcentral is "partial 16S ribosomal RNA". It matches the Rfam family "Bacterial small subunit ribosomal RNA", at positions 354 to 796 of the family's 1533-position model. The record is from RNAcentral.
GUGGGGAAUAUUGGGCAAUGGGCGAAAGCCUGACCCAGCAACGCCGCGUGAAGGAAGAAGGUCUUCGGAUCGUAAACUUCUAUCCUUGGUGAAGAUAAUGACGGUAGCCGAGAAGGAAGCCCCGGCUAACUACGUGCCAGCAGCCGCGGUAAUACGUAGGGGGCAAGCGUUGUCCGGCAUGAUUGGGCGUAAAGGGCGCGUAGGCGGCCUGGUAAGUCUGGAGUGAAAGUCCUGCUUUUAAGGUGGGAAUUGCUUUGGAUACUGUCGUGCUUGAGUGAAGGAGAGGUAAGUGGAAUUCCCGGUGUAGCGGUGAAAUGCGUAGAGAUCGGGAGGAACACCAGUGGCGAAGGCGACUUACUGGACUGUAACUGACGCUGAGGCGCGAAAGCGUGGGGAGCAAACAGGAUUAGAAACCCCAGUAGUCC